CCUACGGGAGGCAGCAGUGAGGAAUAUUGGUCAAUGGGCGCAAGCCUGAACCAGCCAAGUCGCGUGAGGGAUGACGGUCCUAUGGAUUGUAAACCUCUUUUGUCGGGGAGCAAGUCCCGCCACGUGUGGCGGGAAGGAGAGUACCCGAAGAAAAAGCAUCGGCUAACUCCGUGCCAGCAGCCGCGGUAAUACGGAGGAUGCGAGCGUUAUCCGGAUUUAUUGGGUUUAAAGGGUUCGUAGGCGGAAGGUUAAGUCAGCGGUCAAAUGUCGGUGCUCAACACCGGCCUGCCGUUGAAACUGGUCGUCUUGAGUGAGCGAGAAGUAUGCGGAAUGCGUGGUGUAGCGGUGAAAUGCAUAGAUAUCACGCAGAACUCCGAUUGCGAAGGCAGCAUACCGGCGCUCAACUGACGCUGAGGCACGAAAGCGUGGGGAUCGAACAGGAUUAGAUACCCGAGUAGUC
RNAcentral lists this ribosomal RNA (460 nucleotides) under uncultured bacterium. RNAcentral's name for it is "partial 16S ribosomal RNA". It matches the Rfam family "Bacterial small subunit ribosomal RNA", at positions 338 to 795 of the family's 1533-position model. The record is from RNAcentral.